Molecule: ribosomal RNA, 269 nt
Filed under: uncultured prokaryote
Description: partial 16S ribosomal RNA
Rfam family: Bacterial small subunit ribosomal RNA
Source: RNAcentral
UACGUAGGUGGCGAGCGUUAUCCGGAUUUACUGGGUGUAAAGGGCGUGUAGGCGGGUGUUCAAGUCGGAUGUGAAAAGGCAAGUCUCAACUUUGCUCUGUCAUCCGAAACUGGAUAUCUUGAGUGUCUGAGGGGAAAGCGGAAUUCCUGGUGGAGCGGUAAAAUGCGUAGAGAUCAGGAGGAACACCGGCGGCGAAGGCGGCUUGCUGGGGUCUAACUGACGCUGAGGCUCGAAAGUGUGGGGAGCAAACAGGAUUAGAUACUCGCGUA